Molecule: non-coding RNA, 872 nt
Organism: Megalobrama amblycephala (Wuchang bream)
Lineage: Eukaryota; Metazoa; Chordata; Actinopteri; Cypriniformes; Xenocyprididae
Source: the annotation of a RefSeq genome assembly
ACAAUUACAAAUUUGUAGUAAAGUCAACAUUUUGGUUAAAAUCAAGUAAACAUACUAGUGUUUUUAUAGUAAAGAAUACUAUUUGAAUUUACAGUAUGGUUUCAUAUGUUUUCAGUGUUCAUGAACUGAUGUCAUUUUAAUGCUGUUCUCAUCCUCUGACACUGACAGAUAGGAGGAGCCUGUGGAGAUCUGAUAUAGAGCAAACUAAACUCUUUUUCUUCCUACAGUGCAAACAUGACGAUCCUUUGUGUUCUUCUUCUGCUAUUGUUGAUGAAAAGGGAGACAUUUGCACAGUCAAUAACACCGCUGGAAAACAAGGUGCUUCAAUCUGCAGGAGAUGAAGUCACUCUGUCCUGUAAAUAUGAUGGAGCUGAAGAAAACCUGCACUGGUAUCGUCAGUAUCCGGGAUCCAAACCAGAGUUCCUCGCAUACAUUUUUCCAGAAGGAACUAAAAGUGAGCCUCUUCCUCCUCGUCUUUUACCUAAAGUCGAUAAAAGCAACAAUCUUGUGUAUCUGGAGAUCUCCUCUGCUGCAGUAUCAGACUCUGCGCUGUAUUACUGCGCACUGACGCCCACAAUGACAGGAAACACAUCCUCACUGUACAAAAACAUCCUCAACAAUAAAUCUCAUAAACUAAAGUUUCAGGAAAGGGCCAGUGCAUCACAAAACACUUAAAAUAUCAUAGAUCAGUUCAGACAGUGGUGGUGUGAAGAAAGAAAAGUAGCAGUAAUGCAUCUAAACAUCUUAUGCAAAAAAAUUAGUAAUAAAGAAAUGCAUCAAUAAAUGCAUGAAUUGAUAAACAGAAAUGUAAAUCCUACAGAUCUUUUCUAUAAACCUGAUGAUGGUGAUGAUCUCAAAAGAAGAAGCUUUAA